AGUGAACGCUGGCGGUAGGCCUAACACAUGCAAGUCGAACGGCAGCACAGUAAGAGCUUGCUCUUACGGGUGGCGAGUGGCGGACGGGUGAGGAAUACAUCGGAAUCUACUUUUUCGUGGGGGAUAACGUAGGGAAACUUACGCUAAUACCGCAUACGACCUACGGGUGAAAGCAGGGGAUCUUCGGACCUUGCGCGAUUGAAUGAGCCGAUGUCGGAUUAGCUAGUUGGCGGGGUAAAGGCCCACCAAGGCGACGAUCCGUAGCUGGUCUGAGAGGAUGAUCAGCCACACUGGAACUGAGACACGGUCCAGACUCCUACGGGAGGCAGCAGUGGGGAAUAUUGGACAAUGGGCGCAGGUCUGAUCCAGCCAUACCGCGUGGGUGAAGAAGGCCUUCGGGUUGUAAAGCCCUUUUGUGGGGAAAGAAAAGCAGCAGGUUAAUACCCCGCUGUUCUGACGGUACCCAAAGAAUAAGCACCGGCUAACUUCGUG
This 492-nucleotide ribosomal RNA is filed under the name uncultured bacterium. RNAcentral describes it as "partial 16S ribosomal RNA". It matches the Rfam family "Bacterial small subunit ribosomal RNA", at positions 29 to 507 of the family's 1533-position model. The record is from RNAcentral.